AAAGUCGUAACAAGGUUUCCGUAGGUGAACCUGCGGAAGGAUCAUUAACAAAUCUUAUUGAGGGCCUAACGGCUCAUCAACCUUUGUGAAUCGACUUGCCGUAAAAAGCAAGUUAGUUGGGUGCGGGAACAAGUAUAGAGAGUAACGGAACCUUGGUUCCAAUACCCCCUAUGCUUAUAAUAUAGUCUAAUUACAAUUGGAUUUCGAAAGAUUUCUAGUAACUUUACAACUUUUAACAAUGGAUCUCUAGGCUCUU
Molecule: unclassified non-coding RNA, 256 nt
Filed under: Basidiomycota sp.
Lineage: Eukaryota; Fungi; Basidiomycota
Description: partial contains small subunit ribosomal RNA, internal transcribed spacer 1, and 5.8S ribosomal RNA
Rfam family: Eukaryotic small subunit ribosomal RNA (bases 1-47)
Source: RNAcentral